AACGUAGGAGGCGAGCGUUAUCCGGAUUUACUGGGCGUAAAGCGCGUGCAGGUGGUACGGCAAGUUGGAUGUGAAAGCUUCCGGCUAAACUGGGAGAGGUCGUUCAAUACUGCCGAACUAGAGGAUGGGAGAGGAAGGUGGAAUUCCGAGUGUAGUGGUGAAAUGCGUAGAUAUUCGGAGGAACACCAGUGGCGAAAGCGGCCUUCUGGCCCAUUUCUGACACUCAGACGCGAAAGCUAGGGGAGCGAACGGG
This 253-nucleotide ribosomal RNA is filed under the name uncultured prokaryote. Its description in RNAcentral is "partial 16S ribosomal RNA". It matches the Rfam family "Bacterial small subunit ribosomal RNA", at positions 524 to 776 of the family's 1533-position model. The record is from RNAcentral.